AGGGGUUGUAGUCUAACCAGGCAGAAUAGGCGGCUCCAAACCGCUUGACCCAGGUUCAAAUCCUGGCAACCCC
This 73-nucleotide transfer RNA is filed under the name Candidatus Parvarchaeum acidiphilum ARMAN-4. RNAcentral describes it as "tRNA-Trp". It matches the Rfam family "tRNA". From Rfam's summary of the family: Transfer RNA (tRNA) molecules are approximately 80 nucleotides in length. Lineage: Archaea; Nanobdellati; Candidatus Parvarchaeota. The record is from RNAcentral.